Molecule: unclassified non-coding RNA, 268 nt
Filed under: Hevea brasiliensis (rubber tree)
Lineage: Eukaryota; Viridiplantae; Streptophyta; Magnoliopsida; Malpighiales; Euphorbiaceae
Source: RNAcentral
ACCAUACUGUGAUCUUAUUUCUUCUUUCAAAAAACAAAAAAAUCUUUAUUAAAGAAAGGGGGACUUGAUUGAAGUUGAAUGGUAACCAAUUGAAGAACAUUAUAUUUUGAACCAAAGAAUCCAGGAUGAAAACUUUCUUGAUAACCCAAUUUUAUUCAGUUUUUGGCUGCUAGCCCUAAAGCAUAAUCAUUCAACAAAAUCUUUAUAAAUGAAGUUCAGUUAUACUAGUGAAAAAGAGAUGUGAUAUUAUGAUUUGGUUUUAUUUUAG